This 254-nucleotide ribosomal RNA is filed under the name uncultured bacterium. Its description in RNAcentral is "partial 16S ribosomal RNA". It matches the Rfam family "Bacterial small subunit ribosomal RNA", at positions 524 to 776 of the family's 1533-position model. The record is from RNAcentral.
UACGUAGGGUGCGAGCGUUGUCCGGAAUUAUUGGGCGUAAAGAGCUCGUAGGCGGUGUGUCGCGUCGGCCGUGAAAACCUGCAGCUUAACUGUGGGCUUGCGGUCGAUACGGGCAUCACUGGAGUUCGGCAGGGGAGACUGGAAUUCCUGGUGUAGCGGUGAAAUGCGCAGAUAUCAGGAGGAACACCGGUGGCGAAGGCGGGUCUCUGGGCCGAUACUGGCGCUGAGGAGCGAAAGCGUGGGGAGCGAACAGG